This 1367-nucleotide ribosomal RNA is filed under the name uncultured bacterium. Its description in RNAcentral is "16S ribosomal RNA". It matches the Rfam family "Bacterial small subunit ribosomal RNA". The record is from RNAcentral.
AGAGUUUGAUCCUGGCUCAGGAUGAACCUUGGCGGUGUGCCUAAUACAUGCAAGUCGAACGGUGAUUAUUUUGUAGUAAUACAAAUUAAUUAUAGUGGCGAACGGGUGAGUAACGCGUUGGUGAUCUGCCUCGAAGUGUGGAAUAACGUUCCGAAGGAACGCUAAUACCGCAUGUGCUCUCAGUUUUUAGAAAGUUGAGAGUAAAGGAUUUAUUCGCUUCGAGAGGAGCCUGCGUCCCAUCAGCUAGUUGGUAGGGUAAUAGCCUACCAAGGCAAUGACGGGUAGGGGACCUGAGAGGGUGGCCCCCCACAAUGGAACUGAAACACGGUCCAUACACCUACGGGUGGCAGCAGUAGGGAAUAUUAGAAAUGGACGAAAGUCUGAUCUAGCGACACCGCGUGUGCGAAGAAGGCCUUCGGGUUGUAAAGCACUUUUUGGAAGGAAUAGGAAGGAAGGUACUUCCAGAAUAAGUCUCGGCUAACUACGUGCCAGCAGCCGCGGUAACACGUAGGAGGCAAACGUUAUCCGGAUUUAUUGGGCGUAAAGCGCGUGUAGGUGGUUCUGUAAGUAGGGCGUGAAAGCUCCUGGCUCAACCGGGAGAGGCCGUUUUAUACUGCAGAGCUAGAGGAUGGUAGAGGGAGGUGGAAUUCCAGGUGUAGCGGUGGAAUGCGCAGAUAUCUGGAGGAACACCAGUGGCGAAGGCGGCCUCCUGGACCAUUCCUGACACUCAGACGCGAAAGCUAGGGUAGCAAACGGGAUUAGAGACCCCGGUAGUCCUAGCCCUAAACGAUGUAGACUAGACGUCGGUGGUGUAAAAACUGUCGGUGUCCAAGCUAACGCGAUAAGUCUACCGCCUGAGGACUACGGCCGCAAGGUUAAAACUCAAAGGAAUUGACGGGUCCCCGCACAAGCAGCGGAGCGUGUGGUUUAAUUCGUUGCUACACGAAGAACCUUACCUGGGUUUGACAUAGCAGUGGUAGGGAAGAGAAAUCGGACCGACCCUUCGGGGAGCUGUUACAGGUGUUGCAUGCCUGUCGUCAGCUCGUGUCGUGAGAUGUUCGGUUAAGUCCGCUAACGAGCGCAACCCGCGUUGUGUGUUACAAGUGUCACACAGUACCGCCGGUAUUAAGUCGGAGGAAGGUGCGGAUGACGUCAAGUCAGCAUGACCUUUAUAUCCAGGGCUACACACACGCUACAAUGGUCAGAACAAUAGGUUGCCAAGCCGCAAGGCGGAGCCAAUCCUCCAAAUCUGGCCUCAGUUCAGAUUGCAGGCUGCAACUCGCCUGCAUGAAGUCGGAGUUGCUAGUAACCGCAGGUCAGCAUACUGCGGUGAAUACGUUCCCGGGGAUUGCACACACCGCCCGUCA